UUCCCAGAAUUCUCAGCCGGAGCUAGCUGUAGAUAGGCAGCCUAAUAAGUUUGGGACAUAGAGUUAUAAAUCUAUGGUUUGGGAUGAUAAAAUCGUAGUCUCAAUUUACUUGUCACAAUGUGCUUACGUAAUAAUGGUCGUGAGAAUUUUCUAGAGACGAUUGUGCUAGAGAUGAAAAGAACUAUAGUAAAACAGGAUUAUUAGGAAAAAUGUUUAAUUGUCAAGAUAAUGGUAAUUAUUCACCCUAUAAAUGUCUGGGUUCUGUCUGUUUCUGUACUGAUGAAAAUGGUUUGAUAAAAGGAUCAAAGAUGAUUAACAUAGGAGAGUUAUCUUCCCUUCAAUGUACACAAUAAAUCAGUUCAUAAUUACA
Patella vulgata (common limpet) is the source of this 370-nucleotide long non-coding RNA. RefSeq lists it as uncharacterized. Lineage: Eukaryota; Metazoa; Mollusca; Gastropoda; Patellidae. The record is from RefSeq and is a predicted model, not a curated record. The transcript is spliced from 2 exons.